This 522-nucleotide ribosomal RNA is filed under the name Mesorhizobium sp. Its description in RNAcentral is "bacterial SSU rRNA". It matches the Rfam family "Bacterial small subunit ribosomal RNA", at positions 93 to 650 of the family's 1533-position model. Lineage: Bacteria; Pseudomonadati; Pseudomonadota; Alphaproteobacteria; Hyphomicrobiales; Phyllobacteriaceae. The record is from RNAcentral.
GAGCGGCAGACGGGUGAGUAACGCGUGGGAAUCUACCCAUCUCUACGGAACAACUCCGGGAAACUGGAGCUAAUACCGUAUACGUCCUUUUGGAGAAAGAUUUAUCGGAGAUGGAUGAGCCCGCGUUGGAUUAGCUAGUUGGUGGGGUAAUGGCCUACCAAGGCGACGAUCCAUAGCUGGUCUGAGAGGAUGAUCAGCCACACUGGGACUGAGACACGGCCCAGACUCCUACGGGAGGCAGCAGUGGGGAAUAUUGGACAAUGGGCGAAAGCCUGAUCCAGCCAUGCCGCGUGAGUGAUGAAGGCCCUAGGGUUGUAAAGCUCUUUCAACGGUGAAGAUAAUGACGGUAACCGUAGAAGAAGCCCCGGCUAACUUCGUGCCAGCAGCCGCGGUAAUACGAAGGGGGCUAGCGUUGUUCGGAAUUACUGGGCGUAAAGCGCACGUAGGCGGAUACUUAAGUCAGGGGUGAAAUCCCGGGGCUCAACCCCGGAACUGCCUUUGAUACUGGGUAUCUCGAGUCCG